RNAcentral lists this ribosomal RNA (483 nucleotides) under uncultured bacterium. RNAcentral's name for it is "bacterial SSU rRNA". It matches the Rfam family "Bacterial small subunit ribosomal RNA", at positions 10 to 518 of the family's 1533-position model. The record is from RNAcentral.
AAUUUGAUCUUGGUUCAGAACGAACGCUGGCGGCAUGGAUUAGGCAUGCAAGUCGAACGAAGCAGCAAUGCUUAGUGGCGCAAGGGUGAGGAACACGUGAGUGACUUACCCGCAAGUUUGGAACAGCUCCUGGAAACGGGAAUUAAUACCGGAUGUGAUCAUAGGUCUGCAUGGAUUUAUGAUUAAAGCAGCAAUGCGCUUGCGGAUGGGCUCGCGUCCCAUUAGCCGGUUGGUGAGGUAACGGCCCACCAAGGCGAUGAUGGGUAGCUGGUCUGAGAGGACGACCAGCCACACUGGGACUGAGAACUGCCCAGACUCCUACGGGAGGCUGCAGUCGAGAAUUUUGGGCAAUGGACGAAAGUUCCUGACCCAGCAAUGCCGCGUGCGGGAUGAAGGUCUUCGGAUUGUAAACCGCUGUUUGGAGGGACGAAAUUUGACGGUACCUCCAGAGAAAGCCACGGCUAACUACGUGCCAGCCGCCGC